UUUUAUGGCGGCUGUGCGUGGAAGGCCUUCGGGCCUACCGGUUACCUUGAUUGCCGGGUCUCACACCACGCACGGCUGCCACCCAA
RNAcentral lists this non-coding RNA (86 nucleotides) under Pseudomonas sp. 478. The record is from RNAcentral. Lineage: Bacteria; Pseudomonadati; Pseudomonadota; Gammaproteobacteria; Pseudomonadales; Pseudomonadaceae. RNAcentral also lists the same sequence under 1 other name.